Long non-coding RNA from Chiroxiphia lanceolata (lance-tailed manakin), 1384 nucleotides. RefSeq lists it as uncharacterized. The record is from RefSeq and is a predicted model, not a curated record. The transcript is spliced from 4 exons. Lineage: Eukaryota; Metazoa; Chordata; Aves; Passeriformes; Pipridae.
AUAUAUGUCUUAUUCUUGUAGAAAAGGAAAAAAGAGAACAAAAUGAAGAAAAAGAAAGAAAAGAAGAAAAAGAGAGAGAAAACAGGACCUGUCCAGCUUUCCAAGUUCUUCAAAAACAAAAAGAAGAAUGAAAACUACAGCAUGAUAACCGGAAAGAAAAUUAAGAUGAAAAUUAAGAAGACUAAGGAAGAUAUAGAGAGAGACCGGAACCGUGCGCAGCUCCUGGAAUUUCUGAACUCUGCCUUGUAAUGGGAAGAGUGCUGGCCAAGGACUUGUAGAUAUACCAAGUCAAUGAUCAUCAUGCCUAGCAAAACACUAAAGGGAAACUCAGGGAAAAGGAUGCCAAGUUUGACAAGACCAGACCCUCCUGCUGAGAAGACAAUCGGGAUGUCCUUUUUUAAUGGCAAAAUGAAGAGUAGCUAAUAACUUGCUAAUGAAGAUCCAUGUCCUCCUUUUGAGAUCCUAAGGUAAUAGCCAGGCUGUGGUGUUUUAGAAAAGCCCAGGAGUGUGUCAUUGACAAUGAUAAGAAAUGACACACUGAAGUCAAAUAAUGUAAUUUCUAUCCUAACUGCAUGCAGAAUGCACUCUUAAUUUCAAAUGUCUUAAUUUUUCUAGUAGUUUAACCAGAGUAUUUGUAAAUGUCUGUUUGAAAGAUGAGGUGUUUCUUAUAUGUAUAUUUUUUUUCUGGUAGUGGUUAUACUUGUCCUAAAGAGCAAAAUGACCUCUGUAAAUAGAACAUGCUUUUACAUAAAUGAUUUUUUUGAAAGUUCACUAACUAAUAUAUUACUUUCUUUCAGAGUUUGAGAUAGGAUCUUUCUCUGGACAGUUUAUUGCUCUCUCUCACUAGAAAAUGUAAAAGCAAAAUACUCUAGAGCAAUAAUGGUAGCGAAUGAUUUGUAUCCUAAAAUAGAAGCGGAAAAGGUCUGUGAUUUUGUUUGUUUAUCUCAAUCAGCUGUUCAAAGGCAGCUCACAAUAAAUAGUUUACCCCCCCCCAUCUGGAGUUUGCAGUUCCUAGACCUAAAAACUCUGGAGUUCUGGCCUGCCUUUCUGAUCCUGUGAGUUGUGUAUCAAAUCUUUCUCUGUCUGAAGUGAAGCAAGACACAUACGACGUACCUUACCCUAAUGGAGAAAGAGCUGCAGGAAUAAAUCAGAGGCAGGCAGUGCCAGUGACUCUCUGGAUAUGUUGACAGCCCGCUGUGAGAUGAGACAGAGCUUGACUUUCGAUCAGCCAGCAGGCCCCUGUGUACAUAACACCAAUGUGGGAGUCCCACUUGAAUCGCUUGCGAAGCAAGUGCUUCCCAGGAACUGCCGUUUAGGAAUGCCUGAAAAAAAGAAGUCAAGAGUAGUUGACUUUGACAAGAGCAUCAGGUCUACAGCGGUCAGA